UGGGGGAUAUUGCGCAAUGGGGGGAACCCUGACGCAGCAACGCCGCGUGAAGGAAGAAGGUCUUCGGAUUGUAAACUUUUGUCUUCAGGGACGAAUCAAUGACGGUACCUGAGGAGGAAGCCACGGCCAACUACGUGCCAGCAGCCGCGGUAAUACGUAGGUGGCGAGCGUUGUCCGGAAUUAUUGGGUGUAAAGGGCGUGUAGGCGGGUUGGCAAGUCAGAUGUGAAAUUCCCAGGCUUAACUUGGGCGCUGCAUUUGAAACUGCUGAUCUUGAGUGCAGGAGAGGAAAGCGGAAUUCCUAGUGUAGCGGUGAAAUGCGUAGAUAUUAGGAGGAACACCAGUGGCGAAGGCGGCUUUCUGGACUGUAACUGACGCUGAUGCGCGAAAGCGUGGGGAGCAAACAGG
RNAcentral lists this ribosomal RNA (406 nucleotides) under uncultured prokaryote. RNAcentral's name for it is "bacterial SSU rRNA". It matches the Rfam family "Bacterial small subunit ribosomal RNA", at positions 355 to 776 of the family's 1533-position model. The record is from RNAcentral. RNAcentral also lists the same sequence under 1 other name.